UUUGCUGCUCCACGAGGCGCGAUCUGCGAGUCGGCUGUUUGGGAAUGCAGCCUAAGUGGGAGGUAAAUUCCUUCUAAGGCUAAAUAUUGGCAAGAGACCGAUAGCGAUCAAGUACCGCCGGAAAGAUGAAAAAGACUAUGACAAGUUCCACUGCCCAAUUGUCAACGUGGGAGAUCUGGUCGCUUCGCCUGGGUGUGACGAGAAGACCGCGGGGCACUGUGCCCCUCGUUGGUCGUCACACAACACGG
Molecule: ribosomal RNA, 248 nt
Filed under: Physcomitrium patens
Lineage: Eukaryota; Viridiplantae; Streptophyta; Bryopsida; Funariales; Funariaceae
Description: Physcomitrella patens partial 25S ribosomal RNA
Rfam family: Eukaryotic large subunit ribosomal RNA
Source: RNAcentral